CUACGGGUUGCAGCAGUGGGGAAUAUUGGACAAUGGGGGAAACCCUGAUCCAGCAAUGCCGCGUGUGUGAAGAAGGCCUGCGGGUUGUAAAGCACUUUCGGUUGGGAGGACUGCUUCUAGCACUAAUAUUGUUGGAAGUUGACGUUACCUUCAGAAGAAGCACCGGCUAACUCCGUGCCAGCAGCCGCGGUAAUACGGAGGGUGCAAGCGUUAUUCGGAAUUACUGGGCGUAAAGCGCGCGUAGGCGGCUAGAUCAGUCGGGUGUGAAAGCCCCGGGCUUAACCUGGGAACUGCAUCCGAUACUGUCUAGCUUGAGUACAGGAGAGGAGAGUGGAAUUCCACAUGUAGCGGUGAAAUGCGUAGAUAUGUGGAGGAACACCAAUGGCGAAGGCAGCUCUCUGGCCUGAUACUGACGCUAAGGCGUGAAAGCGUGGGGAGCAAACAGGAUUAGAUACCCGGGUAGUC
This 465-nucleotide ribosomal RNA is filed under the name uncultured bacterium. RNAcentral describes it as "partial 16S ribosomal RNA". It matches the Rfam family "Bacterial small subunit ribosomal RNA", at positions 339 to 795 of the family's 1533-position model. The record is from RNAcentral.